AGUGAACGCUGGCGGUAGGCCUAACACAUGCCAGUCGAACGGCAGCACAGUAAGAGCUUGCUCUUACGGGUGGCGAGUGGCGGACGGGUGAGGAAUACAUCGGAAUCUACUUUUUCGUGGGGGAUAACGUAGGGAAACUUACGCUAAUACCGCAUACGACCUACGGGUGAAAGCAGGGGAUCUUCGGACCUUGCGCGAUUGAAUGAGCCGAUGUCGGAUUAGCUAGUUGGCGGGGUAAAGGCCCACCAAGGCGACGAUCCGUAGCUGGUCUGGGAGGAUGAUCAGCCACACUGGAACUGAGACACGGUCCAGACUCCUACGGGAGGGAGCAGUGGGGAAUAUUGGACAAUGGGCGCAAGCCUGAUCCAGCCAUACCGCGUGGGUGAAGAAGGCCUUCGGGUUGUAAAGCCCUUUUGUUGGGAAAGAAAAGCAGCAGGUUAAUACCCCGCUGUUCUGACGGUACCCAAAGAAUAAGCACCGGCUAACUUCGUG
Molecule: ribosomal RNA, 492 nt
Filed under: uncultured bacterium
Lineage: Bacteria
Description: partial 16S ribosomal RNA
Rfam family: Bacterial small subunit ribosomal RNA
Source: RNAcentral